Non-coding RNA from Monodelphis domestica (gray short-tailed opossum), 4372 nucleotides. Lineage: Eukaryota; Metazoa; Chordata; Mammalia; Didelphimorphia; Didelphidae. The record is from RefSeq and is a predicted model, not a curated record.
GAAGCAGCAAACUUCCCAAGGAAGAAAAAAAAGAAGAAAUUUACUUAAAAUCUCAAGAAUGAGAGGGGAGCAUUCUUCUUUAGCACAGUCCAAUCCCUGGAUGGUGGCGGGCAAAGGCAGGGGAUGAGGCAACAACGAGUAUCUACUACGGGGCUUUUGGGGGAACAGUCAGACAUCUAUUAAACUCAUUCUCACACCUGAGGCCUAAAUUUGAGGCGGAGGAUGCUUGCUCCCUCCUCCUGGGUCUAUUCUGCCCACCCUACAGGUUGCAUGAUUGGGAGGUGCUGAAGAAGAAAAGAAGGGAUGACAAAGGAGAAGAAAAGGAACAAGCAUGAAGGGGACUAUUACAAGCAAUACUACACCUGGAUCUCUAUCCAUGAGAGGCCUGCCUUCAAUAAGCUACUUAAAUGGAGGAAGUGGAGCUUUUGCCAUCACUGUAUGAGGAUGAGUUUCCCUCAGAAUUCCAGGACCAAAGGGCUUUUUAAAUGUGGCUGGACUUACAAACUGCCCUUGGAAAUGCAGAGAAGAUGGGGCUAGAGGGAUCUGUCUAUAGAGACCUGCUGGGUACACUUGGGACAAGCAUGCUGUCAUGCGCCUGCGGGGCCGCAAGCUCUCCCAGAACCUGACGCUACAUGAGGGUCCCAAGGAGUGAUGGAGAUGCAGGAAGGCCAAGGCAUCUGCCAGGGGCAUGGGGGGUAGGGGUUAUAUUCACCACUUGAGUUUUGAGAACUGCUGUUCGUUUCUUCAAAGUUGUUUUGUGCUUUGCUCUCGACUCUCCUACUGAAGGCGCUUUCUGCUGGGUAGGGAGAGAGAAAGGAGAGAAAGAGAGAAAGAGAGAAAGAGAGAGAAAGAGAAAGAGAGAGAGAGAGAGAGAGAGAGAGAGAGAGAGAGAGAGAGAGAGAGAGAGAGAGAGAGAGAGAGAGAGAGAGAGAGAGAGAAGAUGCUGAGAAAGUCGCUUCAUGCCCCUUAAAGUCCCAGAGUGGUAGUAAAGCCUUGGAAUAUGGACAGAGAGUGGGAAGGGCAUGGAAUCAAUUAAAUCACCACUGGUCUGCAGAACAGUUCUUUAGCAGUCCCUCAACAAGAUGGCAGCUGGGGAGCAGAAAUGCAAUGAGACAAUCUAUCUUGUGCCCAUUUUCCAGGUGGCCAGGCCUCAGCAGUAGUAGACCAAUCAGAGAGGACUCAAUAUAGAUUUUGAAUCUCAGAGGCAGACGAGUGUAUUAGAUUUGGAGUCAAAAGGAUUAGAUUCAAAUCCCACACCUCUGUUCAUUAUUAGCUAGGGAACUUCAGUACAUCAGUUAACUUCUCUUACUCAUCUGUAAAAUGAGGGGAUUAAACAGAGGGACCCAAAGAUUUCUUCCUGUUUUAGACUCUUGAUUCUAUGAAACAAAAUUAGUUGAUAUGAAAAGAACAUCAGACUACAGAUGAUAAGACCUAGGAUUCUCAUCCCAGUCCUGCCACUUGGUAGCUAGGUGACCUAAGAGAACUCCCCCAAAUCCAAAUAGCUCAGUUUCCUCACAUGUAAAAUGGGGGGGGCAGGGGGAAAGAGAAAUAACCUGCCAUGCCUAAAUUGAAAAUAUUUUGAUAUUGUAAAGUAUAAAAUACUUUUUCAAAUGGUGACUUAUUCCAUAACAAAAAUCAUCCUCUAACACACACACACACACACACACACACACCAGAAGAGCUGGAAAGGAGCUGUAAUUCUUCCCGAGACCACCCACAGAGAGAGGCUCAGAGAAGCCCCAGGUAUUCUGGCUCUCAGGCCAGGACGCUUUCCUGGGAUUCCCCCAGCUCUUCUGGAAGGGACAUUCCAAAGAGGAAUAUGGAUUCAGUUGUUUCAGACUGGAAAAAUUUGAAAGGUAGCAGUGGAAGAGGGGGGAUGGAAUGAGAAAGAAGGAAGGGGAAUUGUCAGGGGUCACACAGCUCUUCAACACUGGCUUAGAAACUUGACUAAGCAUUUCAAGGACUAAGCUGAGAGGGCUGUUGGGCUUGACUCACUGGGAGAGAGGGGGGAAUGAUAGAUCCAUAAUAGCUACGGAAUUACUGACUGCAUCAGCCAAAGUUACUCCACUAGUUACCUCAUGGAACAAAAGGGAGUUUUCCUCUUGAAUAAGGGAAGGAGUAGGAGGUGGAGGUGGCUGUAUCCCCCUACAAGGUUUAUUUAUCAGUCACAGAACUUAGCCAACAUUUCUUAAUUCCUGUCCCAAUCCAACUCUAGUUGUCAAAGCAUAAUACAGCCCAUUCUGAGUGAGAAGAGAACCAAAGAAUGCCAACACUGGAAAAGACCUUGAAUAUCAUCUUAUCCAACCCCUUCGUCUUACUGAUGAGGAAGUCCCAGAGGCAGCUAGGUGACACAAUGGACAGAGCACUAGACCUAGACACAGAAGACCCAAUCGUAUCUUGCCUCCAACACUUAGCUGUGUGAGCUUGGACAAGUCACUUCACCUGCCUGCCUCAGUUCCUCCACUAUAAAGUGGGGAUAAUAACAGUACCUAUCCUCUAGGCUUGUGAGGACUCAAUGAAAUGAUAUUUGUAAAGCACCUAACAAUGCCGGGCACAUGGUAGGCAAUUAACAAAUGACUGUUCCUACCUUCCUCCCCACCAACUCCCUUCAUCUUAAAGGUGAGGAAGUAUAAAUACCCCUGUCCAUCAAAGCAAUCAACAAGAACCUACAUCCCAAGGCACCAUGCUACAACCCCCUCUCCCCUCCCUAGAGACCCCUUUGCAAUGGGACCCACAUGGAAAUGUUCUUUAUUAGAUCUGUUCAUAAAGGUCUUCUGUCUAUGAAUGAUACAGAAUACAAUGGAGGACAGGAUACAGUGAGACUUUGCAUAAAAUUGUUUGGGGAGAAGGUAGAGUAGAAGCCCAAUUGGGGGGGGACCCAUUCUCUGUCAUAACUUCUGUGAUACCAGGAUUAGCUGCAAUCAUUCUCUCUGCAUGGGAUCAGAGUGGAGGGGUAUAGUGGUGCCUGAUACACAAAGGAAAAAGUCAAUGGCAAAUUUUGAUUGAAUGAAUAUCUUAUUCUUACUGCCUCAUUAAUGAAGUGAACCUAGAAUGAUUAUGUAGGUAAAGAAUAAAACUGACUCCAAAAUAAAAAGAUGGUUAUGGAAGCCAAAUGGUAAUCAAAGGGUUAAAAAUCGUCUAUAAUUCCAUUCUGACCAAAGUUAGGGAAGAGAGAGUUAAAACAUCAACUGAUUAAACAGAUCCCCCUAUGAUAUACAAAUCCCUCUGCCCAGCCUUGCAGUCAAAUGAACCACCACCUUUCAGAUAAAAUAUCUGAAUUUCCCUUCCCAAGGAUACAAUCCUCUCCAACCCAUCCCAUAGGAAAGCUGACAAUGCAUACAAUUCAAUCCACAUUAGCUGGUCAUGUUAUAGCUGACUACCAAAUUCCCACCUCUGAUCUGCCAUAAGCCAUUAUUUUAACCAAAGUUUCCUUUUUCAAAAAUAAUGACAUUAUUGCUAGAGAGCAUACACAGUCUCUGAGUGACCUUCACCUAAAGAAGUGGAGAAUCCUUAGAUUCCCAAUAUCAGAAAUGUAUCUUUUAAGCUGUGUUUAUGGUGCCAGCACACAGCAGGAGACUAAUAAAUGCUUGCUGUAUGAGCAAAUUUACAUAAUGGAUAUCACUGAACCAUCAGCAAUGGUCAAACUAUGAGCUACUUUCUCUUUUCAGAAUUCUGUUUAUAAUAACCAUUUAUGUCAGUUUUGGUGAAAAUAUAACACAACAGCCACUGUGUUUUCACAAUUGCCAGGAGCCUAGAAUAAUUACUAACCUAAUGGUUUAUUAAACUGCUGUUCUCAUUAAAGACUCUGAGCAGGCACAUCAAAAGGAUGUUCUUUUUGAAAAACAACCUUGGGAAUCAAAGUGUAAACACAAGCACAUUUUAUUACUUUGCCACUUAUCAAGCACAGUUUGGAUGGUCAAUGAGCCCCUGAGGAGCUCUGGAACUAUCAGUCUAAAAAGGAGAUCAUUAGGUUGAAAACUUGACAUGUCAGCACAAGGCCUUUCUCCCAACUGGCUAAUCUUUCAUCAACUUUUAUCAAACACAAUAAACAAUAAUUUUCAUUAUGAUUCUAAGUUUUGUCCCUUAGCUUAGGACACCGGGUUUUAAACCAGAUUUGUUGUCGCCCUUAUAGUUAGUCUUGUCUUAUCGAGGAUUUUCCUCAGGAAAUAGAUGUGACUGGGGGCAGUUGGUCUCUUUAUUGGCUGUUCACAAUGUCGGAGACUUCACUUCCAUUCCCUUUUGCCAUAGGUAGAAAUGGGAUUCGAUCUAUGACUGGGAUGGAUGGAGAGAAAGGCAGAGAUCACUUCAAAGGUGGAAAGCCCACCCAACAGUUAAGAAAGCUGAGGGCACAAAGGCCAUUGGUACCUGUGGU